UACGUAGGGAGCAAGCGUUGUUCGGAUUUACUGGGCGUAAAGCGUGCGCAGGCGGUCUUGCAAGACAGGUGUGAAAUCCCCGGGCUUAACCUGGGAACUGCACUUGUGACUGCAAGGCUGGAGUACGGCAGAGGGGGAUGGAAUUCCGCGUGUAGCAGUGAAAUGCGUAGAUAUGCGGAGGAACACCGAUGGCGAAGGCAAUCCCCUGGGCCUGUACUGACGCUCAUGCACGAAAGCGUGGGGAGCAAACAGG
RNAcentral lists this ribosomal RNA (253 nucleotides) under uncultured bacterium. RNAcentral describes it as "partial 16S ribosomal RNA". It matches the Rfam family "Bacterial small subunit ribosomal RNA", at positions 524 to 776 of the family's 1533-position model. The record is from RNAcentral.